RNAcentral lists this ribosomal RNA (624 nucleotides) under Salmonella enterica subsp. enterica serovar Enteritidis. RNAcentral's name for it is "partial 23S ribosomal RNA". It matches the Rfam family "Bacterial large subunit ribosomal RNA", at positions 161 to 687 of the family's 2925-position model. The record is from RNAcentral. Lineage: Bacteria; Pseudomonadati; Pseudomonadota; Gammaproteobacteria; Enterobacterales; Enterobacteriaceae.
AAUCCAUAGGUUAAUGAGGCGAACCGGGGGAACUGAAACAUCUAAGUACCCCGAGGAAAAGAAAUCAACCGAGAUUCCCCCAGUAGCGGCGAGCGAACGGGGAGGAGCCCAGAGCCUGAAUCAGCAUGUGUGUUAGUGGAAGCGUCUGGAAAGGCGCGCGAUACAGGGUGACAGCCCCGUACACAAAAGCGCAUGUGCUGUGAGCUCGAUGAGUAGGGCGGGACACGUGGUAUCCUGUCUGAAUAUGGGGGGACCAUCCUCCAAGGCUAAAUACUCCUGACUGACCGAUAGUGAACCAGUACCGUGAGGGAAAGGCGAAAAGAACCCCGGCGAGGGGAGUGAAAAAGAACCUGAAACCGUGUACGUACAAGCAGUGGGAGCCCCACCACCAAAGCAUUUGCUGUACCGCGUUGACGGAGCGAAGCGACGUCAAACCGAUAAAACAGCAGUGUAAAGUGAGCCGCAGGGCGCUUUGCGCGACAGCGCAAAGGCAGGCGGUUUCGCGUAGCGAAAGCGAAUGCUUUGGGGUGGGGUGACUGCGUACCUUUUGUAUAAUGGGUCAGCGACUUAUAUUCUGUAGCAAGGUUAACCGAAUAGGGGAGCCGGAGGGAAACCGAGUCUUAA